Molecule: unclassified non-coding RNA, 1476 nt
Filed under: uncultured fungus
Lineage: Eukaryota; Fungi
Description: sequence contains 18S rRNA gene, ITS1, 5.8S rRNA gene, ITS2, 28S rRNA gene
Rfam family: Eukaryotic large subunit ribosomal RNA (bases 504-1476)
Source: RNAcentral
GGAAGGAUCAUUAACACUAAUCCAAAACAACUCAACCAAGCCUUUAGUUGCAGCCGUAGUACUUGCUAGCGAAAGCGGGCAGUGCCGCAGCUGCGACAACAACAAACCUAAUCCACACAAAGGAAUCUAAUUAAGAUCAACAAAAAAACCAAAUUCUCAACGAUGGAUAUCUUGGUUCCCAUAACGAUGAAGAACGCAGCGAAGUGCGAUAAGCAAUGCGAAUUGCAGAACCGUGAGUCAUCAGAUUUUUGAACGCAACUGGCGCCGGCUGGCUCUCCAGUCGGCAUGCUUGUUUCAGUGUCUUUUUAUCUCAUCACCCAAAUCUUAAUGCGAGAGAUACCCUUCUCUCGUCAAGCAUGAAAGCACUCUGCGCUCUGCGAGCGAUUUCGACUUGUUCGAGGUCGCACUCAAUGCAGCGGUCACAUUCUAGCAAUGUGAACUCAUUGAGAGUAGAGGCAGUGCAGCCUUACAGCUGCCAGUGCUUAGACACACAAACUUUCUUUGUAUCUGAAAUCAAGCAGGAUCACCCGCUGAACUUAAGCAUAUCAAUAAGCGGAGGAGAAGAAAAUAACUAUGAUUGCCUCAGUAACGGCGAGUGAAGCGGCAAAAGCCCAAACUGGAAAUCUUGUGCACUACGUGUACACGAAUUGUAAUCUAGAGGGGGUUCGCUCAACGGGCGGUGGCGCAGAAGUGACCUUGAACGGUCCGCCAGAGAGGGUGACAGCCCCGUAUGUGGUGCCACUGCUUAACGAGCGGGUUCUCAACGAGUCGGGUUGUUUUGUAUUGCAGCCCUAAGUGGGAGAUAAACUUCUUCUAAGGCUAAAUAUCUAUGGGAAACCGAUAGCGAACAAGUACUGUGAAGGAAAGAUGAAAAGAACUUUGAAAAGAGAGUCAAAAGACUUGAAAUCGUUGAGAAGGAAGGAGUAGAAAUUUAUCCUACGGCGGAGGACGGUGUUAGUCGCCAAACCAUUGCAGGCUUCGAGAACGUCAAAGGCUCAGGUUUGCACGUGGGGAAGUGGCUGGCUUGGACUCCGCAGUGAGGCAAGAUGGGGUCGUGUGGCCUCAAAGGCUUCUCAAGAUAAGGUCCCUUCGGGGGUCAGCUUGGGUUUGCUAGGGGACAUGCGGCCUGAGGAAGCUUCGGCGAUCUUGCCAAAAUGGUUUUUACUCACCCGUCUUGAAACACGGACCAAGGAGUCUAACACAUAUGCGAGUGUGCUGGUGGAAAAACCAACACGCGUAAUGAAAGUAAGUGAUGCCAAGCGCAAGCGGCAGCAUCAACCGACCAUGAUCCUCUGGUGAAAGGUUUGAGUAUGAGCAUAUCUGUUAGGACCCGAAAGAUGGUGAACUAUGCCUGAGUAGGGUGAAGCCAGGGGAAACUCUGGUGGAGGCUCGUAGCGGUUCUGACGUGCAAAUCGAUCGUCAAACUUGGGUAUAGGGGCGAAAGACUAAUCGAACCAUCUAGUAGCUGGUUCCCUC